This 2902-nucleotide ribosomal RNA is filed under the name Klebsiella pneumoniae. RNAcentral describes it as "23S ribosomal RNA". It matches the Rfam family "Bacterial large subunit ribosomal RNA". The record is from RNAcentral. Lineage: Bacteria; Pseudomonadati; Pseudomonadota; Gammaproteobacteria; Enterobacterales; Enterobacteriaceae.
GGUUAAGCGACUAAGCGUACACGGUGGAUGCCCUGGCAGUCAGAGGCGAUGAAGGACGUGCUAAUCUGCGAAAAGCGUCGGUAAGGUGAUAUGAACCGUUAUAACCGGCGAUGUCCGAAUGGGGAAACCCAGUGCAAUUCGUUGCACUAUCGUUAACUGAAUACAUAGGUUAACGAGGCGAACCGGGGGAACUGAAACAUCUAAGUACCCCGAGGAAAAGAAAUCAACCGAGAUUCCCCCAGUAGCGGCGAGCGAACGGGGAGCAGCCCAGAGUCUGAAUCAGCUUGUGUGUUAGUGGAACGGUCUGGAAAGUCCGACGGUACAGGGUGAUAGUCCCGUACACCAAAAUGCACAGGCUGUGAACUCGAAGAGUAGGGCGGGACACGUGGUAUCCUGUCUGAAUAUGGGGGGACCAUCCUCCAAGGCUAAAUACUCCUGACUGACCGAUAGUGAACCAGUACCGUGAGGGAAAGGCGAAAAGAACCCCGGCGAGGGGAGUGAAAAAGAACCUGAAACCGUGUACGUACAAGCAGUGGGAGCACCUUCGGGUGUGACUGCGUACCUUUUGUAUAAUGGGUCAGCGACUUAUAUUCUGUAGCAAGGUUAACCGUAUAGGGGAGCCGCAGGGAAACCGAGUCUUAACUGGGCGUUAAGUUGCAGGGUAUAGACCCGAAACCCGGUGAUCUAGCCAUGGGCAGGUUGAAGGUUGGGUAACACUAACUGGAGGACCGAACCGACUAAUGUUGAAAAAUUAGCGGAUGACUUGUGGCUGGGGGUGAAAGGCCAAUCAAACCGGGAGAUAGCUGGUUCUCCCCGAAAGCUAUUUAGGUAGCGCCUCGUGAACUCAUCUUCGGGGGUAGAGCACUGUUUCGGCUAGGGGGUCAUCCCGACUUACCAACCCGAUGCAAACUACGAAUACCGAAGAAUGUUAUCACGGGAGACACACGGCGGGUGCUAACGUCCGUCGUGAAGAGGGAAACAACCCAGACCGCCAGCUAAGGUCCCAAAGUCAUGGUUAAGUGGGAAACGAUGUGGGAAGGCACAGACAGCCAGGAUGUUGGCUUAGAAGCAGCCAUCAUUUAAAGAAAGCGUAAUAGCUCACUGGUCGAGUCGGCCUGCGCGGAAGAUGUAACGGGGCUAAACCAUGCACCGAAGCUGCGGCAGCGACACUAUGUGUUGUUGGGUAGGGGAGCGUUCUGUAAGCCUGCGAAGGUGACCUGUGAGGGUUGCUGGAGGUAUCAGAAGUGCGAAUGCUGACAUAAGUAACGAUAAAGCGGGUGAAAAGCCCGCUCGCCGGAAGACCAAGGGUUCCUGUCCAACGUUAAUCGGGGCAGGGUGAGUCGACCCCUAAGGCGAGGCCGAAAGGCGUAGUCGAUGGGAAACAGGUUAAUAUUCCUGUACUUGGUGUUACUGCGAAGGGGGGACGGAGAAGGCUAUGUUAGCCGGGCGACGGUUGUCCCGGUUUAAGCAUGUAGGCUGAUUGUCCAGGCAAAUCCGGAUAAUCAAGGCUGAGGUGUGAUGACGAGGCACUACGGUGCUGAAGUAACAAAUGCCCUGCUUCCAGGAAAAGCCUCUAAGCAUCAGGUAACAUUAAAUCGUACCCCAAACCGACACAGGUGGUCAGGUAGAGAAUACCAAGGCGCUUGAGAGAACUCGGGUGAAGGAACUAGGCAAAAUGGUGCCGUAACUUCGGGAGAAGGCACGCUGGUGUGUAGGUGAAGUCCCUGCGGAUGGAGCUGAGACCAGUCGAAGAUACCAGCUGGCUGCAACUGUUUAUUAAAAACACAGCACUGUGCAAACACGAAAGUGGACGUAUACGGUGUGACGCCUGCCCGGUGCCGGAAGGUUAAUUGAUGGGGUUAUCCGUAAGGAGAAGCUCUUGAUCGAAGCCCCGGUAAACGGCGGCCGUAACUAUAACGGUCCUAAGGUAGCGAAAUUCCUUGUCGGGUAAGUUCCGACCUGCACGAAUGGCGUAAUGAUGGCCAGGCUGUCUCCACCCGAGACUCAGUGAAAUUGAACUCGCUGUGAAGAUGCAGUGUACCCGCGGCAAGACGGAAAGACCCCGUGAACCUUUACUAUAGCUUGACACUGAACAUUGAGCCUUGAUGUGUAGGAUAGGUGGGAGGCUUUGAAGCGUGGACGCCAGUCUGCGUGGAGCCAACCUUGAAAUACCACCCUUUAAUGUUUGAUGUUCUAACGUUGGCCCCUGACCGGGGUUGCGGACAGUGUCUGGUGGGUAGUUUGACUGGGGCGGUCUCCUCCCAAAGCGUAACGGAGGAGCACGAAGGUUAGCUAAUCCUGGUCGGACAUCAGGAGGUUAGUGCAAUGGCAUAAGCUAGCUUGACUGCGAGCGUGACGGCGCGAGCAGGUGCGAAAGCAGGUCAUAGUGAUCCGGUGGUUCUGAAUGGAAGGGCCAUCGCUCAACGGAUAAAAGGUACUCCGGGGAUAACAGGCUGAUACCGCCCAAGAGUUCAUAUCGACGGCGGUGUUUGGCACCUCGAUGUCGGCUCAUCACAUCCUGGGGCUGAAGUAGGUCCCAAGGGUAUGGCUGUUCGCCAUUUAAAGUGGUACGCGAGCUGGGUUUAGAACGUCGUGAGACAGUUCGGUCCCUAUCUGCCGUGGGCGCUGGAGAAUUGAGGGGGGCUGCUCCUAGUACGAGAGGACCGGAGUGGACGCAUCACUGGUGUUCGGGUUGUCAUGCCAAUGGCACUGCCCGGUAGCUAAAUGCGGAAGAGAUAAGUGCUGAAAGCAUCUAAGCACGAAACUUGCCCCGAGAUGAGUUCUCCCUGAGACUUUAAGUCUCCUGAAGGAACGUUGAAGACGAUGACGUUGAUAGGCCGGGUGUGUAAGCGCAGCGAUGCGUUGAGCUAACCGGUACUAAUGAACCGUGAGGCUUAACCUU